Long non-coding RNA from Artibeus jamaicensis (Jamaican fruit-eating bat), 792 nucleotides. RefSeq lists it as uncharacterized. Lineage: Eukaryota; Metazoa; Chordata; Mammalia; Chiroptera; Phyllostomidae. The transcript has 3 exons. The record is from RefSeq and is a predicted model, not a curated record.
UCUGAUGAACAUUCUUGUGCAUAAAUCUUUGUCCACACAAAGAUUUAAAUGUUUCCUUCCAUUUACACCGAAGGGAAUUCAAUUCAAGUCACUUCCUCAAACCUUCACAGUGCGUUCCCAGAACACCCCAGGGAUGUGACGGAUCAGACCCUGUUCUGCUCUUUGGAGGCUCCAGUAGGGGAGGUAUACACUGGACUGUGAUCAGCAAGGGCAGGAGCAGCGUGACUGGAGCGUGCCCUCCUUCUAGUAACAACCUGUUUCCCAAACCUCUGCACAGCCCUUUCUUCCCUUGUGUGUGCCACAUGGGGGCGCCAGAACCUGAGUCAUUCAUGGCCUCCUCUGGAAGCCCUCCCACCAGCACCCUAGAGGCCUACAGGAAGCAGCUCAUCACUGUGAGAGUGACUCAGGCCACAAAUCUGCGUGGUAGCAGCAGCCUCGUUCUGCACUCAGUUCACAGAGGAGGAAGUCAAAGCCCAGCCCAGCAGUGUGAGCGAGCGCUCAAGCCCAGGCUGGCCUGACUCCUGCCUGUGUCUCUUUCCUUCUCUCUGCCUGCUUCCUGUGCUGUCUCUGAAUCUUUGUGCACAAUGCCUCCCUCACCGGCUCGUCCUUGCUGCUGCUCUACUUGCGCUCUCACCCAUGCCCACCCAGCUGCACAUGCAGCAAGGUGGGUGCACGUGUGUAGCCAAGCCCUGGAGGACACGUAUAAGGCAUGUCAUCUGGACAAGUCACUUCACUUCUGGGAGCCUCAGUUUUGUCAUCUCAUGGAGGUUGUUAUGAGAGUUGAAGUAGAUA